CUGAGCGGAUCUUUCCGGUUAUGACCGUUGUUUGACAGAUCAGGACGGAGCGUCGCUUUCAGUACCUGUCAUUGAUGGCCCAGCUGUGCGUUGAGGUAAAAUGGGACAGAACACAUCGGGCCCAGAGUCCGCAGAAGCUCCUCAGCUGGACCGAUUUGGAAACAUCAAGAGUUUAGUGGAGGAUCAGCUGCAGACCAGCAUGGU
Long non-coding RNA from Sinocyclocheilus grahami, 204 nucleotides. RefSeq lists it as uncharacterized. The record is from RefSeq and is a predicted model, not a curated record. The transcript is spliced from 3 exons. NCBI's taxonomy places the organism in Eukaryota, Metazoa, Chordata, Actinopteri, Cypriniformes, Cyprinidae.